RNAcentral lists this ribosomal RNA (253 nucleotides) under uncultured bacterium. RNAcentral describes it as "partial 16S ribosomal RNA". It matches the Rfam family "Bacterial small subunit ribosomal RNA", at positions 524 to 776 of the family's 1533-position model. The record is from RNAcentral.
UACGUAGGGGGCAAGCGUUGUCCGGAAUCAUUGGGCGUAAAGAGCGUGUAGGCGGCUCGGUAAGUCCGCUGUGAAAGUCCAGGGCUCAACCCUGGAAUGCCGGUGGAAACUGUCGAGCUAGAGUCCGGAAGAGGAGAGUGGAAUUCCUGGUGUAGCGGUGAAAUGCGCAGAUAUCAGGAAGAACACCCGUGGCUAAGGCGGCUCUCUAGUACGGUACUGACGCUGAGACGCGAAAGCGUGGGGAGCGAACAGG